This 72-nucleotide transfer RNA is filed under the name Ictidomys tridecemlineatus (thirteen-lined ground squirrel). RNAcentral describes it as "Spermophilus tridecemlineatus (thirteen-lined ground squirrel) tRNA". It matches the Rfam family "tRNA". Rfam says of the family: Transfer RNA (tRNA) molecules are approximately 80 nucleotides in length. Their secondary structure includes four short double-helical elements and three loops (D, anti-codon, and T loops). RNAcentral also lists the same sequence under 1 other name. Lineage: Eukaryota; Metazoa; Chordata; Mammalia; Rodentia; Sciuridae. The record is from Rfam by way of RNAcentral.
GGGGAUGUAGCUCCAUGGGAGAGCACUUGCCUAGCAUGCAUGAGGUCCUGAGCUCAGUCCCCACUAUCCCCA